GACGAACGCUGGCGGCGUGCCUAAUACAUGCAAGUUGAGCGCUGAAGGUUGGUACUUGUACCAACUGGAUGAGCAGCGAACGGGUGAGUAACGCGUGGGGAAUCUGCCUUUGAGCGGGGGACAACAUUUGGAAACGAAUGCUAAUACCGCAUAAAAACUUUAAACACAAGUUUUAAGUUUGAAAGAUGCAAUUGCAUCACUCAAAGAUGAUCCCGCGUUGUAUUAGCUAGUUGGUGAGGUAAAGGCUCACCAAGGCGAUGAUACAUAGCCGACCUUAGAGGGUGAUCGGCCACAUUGGGACUGAGACACGGCCCAAACUCCUACGGGAGGCAGCAGUAGGGAAUCUUCGGCAAUGGACGAAAGUCUGACCGAGCAACGCCGCGUGAGUGAAGAAGGUUUUCGGAUCGUAAAACUCUGUUGGUAGAGAAGAACGUUGGUGAGAGUGGAAAGCUCAUCAAGUGACGGUAACUACCCAGAAAGGGACGGCUAACUACGUG
This 497-nucleotide ribosomal RNA is filed under the name uncultured bacterium. RNAcentral's name for it is "partial 16S ribosomal RNA". It matches the Rfam family "Bacterial small subunit ribosomal RNA", at positions 28 to 507 of the family's 1533-position model. The record is from RNAcentral.